CACAGCCUCAAGUAGCGGCUGCAGUAUAUGUAAAUAAAUGAAGAGUCUGUAUAAUCCUAUAUUGAUGAUUGAAUGAAUUUCAUUUUAACUAAAAAUACGGUAGAGGAGGGUGGGGCACAGUGGAGGCCACGAGACCGAUCCCUGGUGUGCAGCCUGCAUUUUCGCCUGGAUGACUACCGCAGUGGUGCACUUGUCAAGAGGCUAAAGAAGACUGCUGUUCCCUCAGCACUAGUCUCAGGAGACCCCUUUGAGGUCCACUGUCACCCUGAGAAACGUAGGCUGCCCAUAGAGCUAGGGGAACACGCAUGUGAACCAUCCCAAAAGGCAAUGAGGUCCGCAACAGCACGGACCACUAGUGACUGUGGGAGCAUCGCCAUUCUCAGUUCAGGCAGACAACUGCAAUGUACUCAACUCCCUCAAAAACUCCCUCAAAACUCAAUUGAAGAACCUUCUGACAGCAACACCCUGCAAUGUGGUAGCCCAAGGAUUUCAACACCAGUCCCACCACCACCACUAGUCCCUUCCUGGUCACCACCACUACCACUCCCUCACCAGUCAUCAGUCCCUUACAGGUCAUCAUGACCACCACCAGUACCUCACCAAUCACUACCACCACUAGUCCCUCAUCAGUCAUCAGUACCUUACCGGUCACCACCACAACCUGUAUCUCACCAGCCACUACCACCACUUGUCCCUCACCCAUCUCCAGCACCACCAGUCCCUCACCAGUGUCCAGCAGUCACCCCAGUAGCACACCAAAGGAAUCGCAAGACACGAUGUGUCUCUGCACAAACCACCACAACUUCAAAAUAUAUAAAUGGACUGACAAGAAAAAUCCGAACCUUCCAAAGAAAAUGCCGAAAGUGGCAACAAUCAAAUGUGGCCCUUCGCACGGAGCUGGCACAACUACGGAAAAAUGUAGUGCACCUGAAGACUAUUGUGGACAAGACAAACAUACAAACACUUCAGGCAGACAUGCAGCUUACAUGCGUAAGUAUA
Ornithodoros turicata is the source of this 999-nucleotide long non-coding RNA. RefSeq lists it as uncharacterized. The record is from RefSeq and is a predicted model, not a curated record. The transcript is spliced from 3 exons. Lineage: Eukaryota; Metazoa; Arthropoda; Arachnida; Ixodida; Argasidae.